This 507-nucleotide ribosomal RNA is filed under the name uncultured bacterium. Its description in RNAcentral is "partial 16S ribosomal RNA". It matches the Rfam family "Bacterial small subunit ribosomal RNA", at positions 28 to 507 of the family's 1533-position model. The record is from RNAcentral.
GACGAACGCUGGCGGCGUGCCUAAUACAUGCAAGUCGAACGCAUUUUCUUUCACCGUAGCUUGCUACACCGAAAGAAAAUGAGUGGCGAACGGGUGAGUAACACGUGGGUAACUGGCCAUCCACCGGGGGAUAACCUUUGGAAACAGGUGCUAAUACCGCAUAUUUCCAUUUCCCCCUGGUUAGAUAGAUGAAGGGCGUUUUGGGGCCCCGGUUGGUUGGCCCCGCGGUGCAUUAGCUAGUGGGGGGGGUAACGGCUUACCAAGGCUGCGAUGCAUAGCCGACCUGAGAGGGUGAUCGGCCACACUGGGACUGAGACACGGCCCAGACUCCUACGGGAGGCAGCAGUAGGGAAUCUUCGGCAAUGGACGCAAGUCUGACCGAGCAACGCCGCGUGAGUGAAGAAGGUUUUCGGAUCGUAAAACUCUGUUGUUAGAGAAGAACAAGGAUGAGAGUGGAAAGUUCAUCCCUUGACGGUAUCUAACCAGAAAGCCACGGCUAACUACGUG